Molecule: long non-coding RNA, 821 nt
Organism: Passer domesticus (house sparrow)
Lineage: Eukaryota; Metazoa; Chordata; Aves; Passeriformes; Passeridae
Exons: 3
Source: RefSeq, a predicted model, not a curated record
UCUUCUGCCUCACAAUGCCCCUGACUUUGCUGCCUGGUUCCCCAAGCAAAGACAAGGAAUGUUCAGGUAGUUGUGACAUCCCAGGCUAAAACAGCAGCUUGACUUCAAUCCAUCCAUGGCAGCCAAAAAAAGCUUUUCAACAGAGAGGGUUCAGGCUUCCUUGCCUUUCUCAAACAACAACCUCUUCACAGCCUUGUGCAUUAUCUUUCCUUCUGAAAAGACUUUUGUGCAUGGGGAUGACUCCUGCUGUUCCUGAGGGCUGUGUGGGAGGAUAGGCCAAAGUGACUGACAUCAUCCACCUGGACUUCUGCAGAGUAUUUGACACUGUCCCACACAGCAUUCUUGUCUCCAUGUUGCAGAGGCAUGGAUUCGAUGGAUGGAGCACUUGGUCAACGACACCCCAAAGCCCAUUUAAAUGGGAAAGCAGAAACUGCUAGAGACAUUUUGUCCUCCCUGGCUCAAGGCUGAAGUGCAAUGAUAUGAAGGAUUAAGAUGAGGGAAAAGUCAAGCUCUUAACAGUAUUUUAAAGUCUGGAAAAGCAAAUUAAGAAUUAAUUAUCCAGAUUGAUGAGUCUCACCUUUUACUACAACUCUACAGACUUCUUUACAACAAAAUGGGAUACUUUCAGCACUCCCACCAUCCUAAGUAAUGAUAGGGGUUGUUAGUGGACACUUCCUUACCUCACAUUCAUAUUUGCUUUUAGCAAAUAGGUCAUUCAUGAGAAAGAAGAAGCUUAGUAAUGACACUUUUGAGACAUGUCUGCAUUGCUUUGGAAAGAACUUCAGUCUUACUGACUUCUGAAUUCCUAUACAUUGUGGCUA